AAAAACAAACAAGGGCAUACGGGGAAUGCCUAGGCUCUGCAAGGCGAAGAAGGACGUGAUAAGCUGCGAAAAGCCGCGGGGAGGUGCAAAUAACCGAUAAUCCGCGGAUAUCCGAAUGGGGCAACCCACCAUAUAAAUGGUACCUCGAAACGAGGAGCGAACCCUCUGAACUGAAACAUCUAAGUAAGAGGAGGAAGAGAAAACAACAGUGAUACCGCAAGUAGUGGCGAGCGAACGCGGCACAGCCCAAACCGGACACGUUUAGGCGUAUCCGGGGUAGUAGGACUGCGAGAAACAAGUAUAAAAAGAACCGGAACGGCAUGGAAAGGCCGUCCGUAGAAGGUGAAAGACCCGUACGGGCAAUUUUUAUACGCGUUAGCAGUAUCCUGAGUAGGUCGGGGCACGAGAAACCCAGACUGAAACCGGCGGGACCACCCGCCAAGGCUAAACACUCAGCAGAGACCGAUAGUGAACAAGUACCGUGAGGGAAAGGUGAAAAGAACCUUGAAUAAAGGAGUGAAAAAGACCCUGAAACCGUAUGCCUACAAGCGGUCGGAGCCCAUUUAUUGGGUGACGGCGUGCCUUUUGCAUAAUGAUCCUACGAGUUACUGUUACCGGCAAGGUUAAGCGCUUCAGGCGCGUAAGCCGCAGCGAAAGCGAGUCUUAAAAGGGCGAAUUAGUCGGUAGUAGUAGACGCGAAACCUUGUGAUCUACCCAUGGCCAGGUUGAAGUGGGGGUAACACCCCAUGGAGGACCGAAUCGGUAAGCGUUGAAAAGCUUUCGAAUGAGCUGUGGGUAGGGGUGAAAGGCCAAUCAAACUGGGAAAUAGCUCGUACUCCCCGAAAUGCAUUUAGGUGCAGCGUCGCGGUUAAGUGAUAUAUAGGUAGAGCUACUGAUUGAAUGCGGGGGCUUCACCGCCUACCAAUUUCAGACAAACUCCGAAUAGUAUAUCACAUACGCGGCAGUGAGGGCAUGGGUGCUAAGGUCCAUGCCCGAGAGGGAAACAACCCGGACCAACAGCUAAGGUCCCCAAAUAUACGCUAAGUUGAAAAAACGAAGUAGAACUGCACAGACAGCCAGGAAGUUGGCUUGGAAGCAGCCAUUCUUUUAAAGAGUGCGUAACAGCUCACUGGUCGAGCGGUUCUGCAUGGAGAAUAAGCGGGCAUAAGCGUAUUACCGAAGCUAUGGCAGAUAACAAUCUGGGUAGGGGAGCAUUCCGUACAGCGCAGAAUCGGUAUUGUAAAGUACCGUGGAGCGUACGGAAAAGCAAAUGUAGGAAUAAGUAACGAUAAAGCGGGCGAGAAACCCGCUCACCGAAAGACCAAGGGUUCCCCGGCUAUGUUAAUCAGCCGGGGGUCAGUCGGGCCCUAAGGACAAGCCGAAAACAGGCUACUCCGAUGGACAAACGUUUAAUAUUACGUUACUCGUAUCGAGUGCGACGGGGCGACCUGGUAAUACCUCUUCGCGUGCUGACGGAAUAGCACGUUAAAGACUUUACUGGGCCGGGAGGCAAAUCCCCCGGCGGAAAGGUAAAGUUGAUAGUACACCCAAGCUACGGCGACGGUGAUAGCAAGACUAAAGAUCAGCAAGAAAAACCUCUAAGCUUCAGCUCGAUACGACCCGUACCGGAAACCGACACAGGUGGUCGAGAAGAGAAUUCUAAGGUGCUCGAGAGAUUCAUGGCUAAGGAACUAGGCAAAAUAGACCUGUAACUUCGGGAAAAAGGUCACCGCAGCAAUGCGGUCUCAGAAAAUAGGUCCAGGCGACUGUUUAACAAAAACACAGGACUUUGCAAAAUCGAAAGAUGACGUAUAAGGUCUGACACCUGCCCGGUGCUGGAAGGUUAAGAGGAGAUGUCCGCAGCAAUGCAAAGCAUUGAAUUGAAGCCCCAGUAAACGGCGGCCGUAACUAUAACGGUCCUAAGGUAGCGAAAUUCCUUGUCGGGUA
RNAcentral lists this ribosomal RNA (1947 nucleotides) under human gut metagenome. RNAcentral's name for it is "bacterial LSU rRNA". It matches the Rfam family "Bacterial large subunit ribosomal RNA", at positions 1 to 1978 of the family's 2925-position model. The record is from RNAcentral.